GACGAACGCUGGCGGCGUGCUUAACACAUGCAAGUCGAACGGAAAGGCCCUGCUUUUGUGGGGUGCUCGAGUGGCGAACGGGUGAGUAACACGUGAGUAACCUGCCCUUGACUUUGGGAUAACUUCAGGAAACUGGGGCUAAUACCGUAUAGGAGCUCCUGCUGCAUGGUGGGGGUUGGAAAGUUUCGGCGGUUGGGGAUGGACUCGCGGCUUAUCAGCUUGUUGGUGGGGUAGUGGCUUACCAAGGCUUUGACGGGUAGCCGGCCUGAGAGGGUGACCGGCCACAUUGGGACUGAGAGACGGCCCAGACUCCUACGGGAGGCAGCAGUGGGGAAUAUGGCACAAUGGGCGGAAGCCUGAUGCAGCAACGCCGGGUGCGGGAUGACGGCCUUCGGGUUGUAAACCGCUUUCGCCUGUGACGAAGCGUGAGUGACGGUAAUGGGUAAAGAAGCACCGGCUAACUACGUG
This 468-nucleotide ribosomal RNA is filed under the name uncultured bacterium. RNAcentral's name for it is "partial 16S ribosomal RNA". It matches the Rfam family "Bacterial small subunit ribosomal RNA", at positions 28 to 507 of the family's 1533-position model. The record is from RNAcentral.